This 344-nucleotide ribosomal RNA is filed under the name uncultured delta proteobacterium. Its description in RNAcentral is "bacterial SSU rRNA". It matches the Rfam family "Bacterial small subunit ribosomal RNA", at positions 521 to 863 of the family's 1533-position model. The record is from RNAcentral. Lineage: Bacteria; Deltaproteobacteria.
UAAUACGGAGGGUGCAAGCGUUGUUCGGAAUUAUUGGGCGUAAAGCGCGUGUAGGCGGUCUUUUAAGUCUGAUGUGAAAGCCCCGGGCUCAACCUGGGAAGUGCAUUGGAAACUGGGAGGCUUGAGUACGGGAGAGGAGAGUGGAAUUCCUAGUGUAGGAGUGAAAUCCGUAGAUAUUAGGAGGAACACCGGUGGCGAAGGCGGCUCUCUGGACCGAUACUGACGCUGAGACGCGAAAGCGUGGGUAGCAAACAGGAUUAGAUACCCUGGUAGUCCACGCCGUAAACGAUGAGUACUAGGUGUUGCGGGUAUUGACCCCUGCAGUGCCGUAGCUAACGCAUUAA